RNAcentral lists this long non-coding RNA (5177 nucleotides) under Nicotiana benthamiana. Its description in RNAcentral is "long non-coding RNA (NBEN_LNC039971)". The record is from RNAcentral. Lineage: Eukaryota; Viridiplantae; Streptophyta; Magnoliopsida; Solanales; Solanaceae.
ACGAGGAAACAAGCUUUAUUGAUCACUGUCAAAAGAAUUUAUUUUACAAUGAAUCCACCAAACUCAGUUGACUAGAUCCACCAUAGCUAAUGAACAAUUGUACCUGAAAGAGGAGAGAAGAAGAAGAGAAGUUGGUUAGAAUUUAGAGAGAGAAAGUAGAGAGAAGAGAAAGCAGUUGAGGUAGUUAACUAUAUUAUACCGUGUAUGCUUGAGUCCUCAACUCCCUCUAUGGUUAUUUAAUUGGGAGACAUUUGGGCCUUAAUCUUCAUUAAUCCCUUAGUUGGGUCAGCUGGCUCAGUUGCAUCAGAUGGCCCAGCUGGGCUUUUUAAUCAAUUGAAGUCAAUUAGUUGAGGCCCACUCCUUACAAGCCCAACCUUCAAGAUGACUAGGUCACUUUCCUAAUUAGAACUUAGGAAUAUCCGACAUUACAUCUCCUUCCCCUUCGAAAAAGAUCUUGUCCUCAAUGUCGUAGUUGAGCUACAAAAUUUUGGAAUCGAUGUUUGAUAUAGCUCCAGUCCUCCCAAGAUGCUUCAUUUUCACUCAAAUUAGCCCAUUGAACCAAUACUUACACCCCAACUCCAUUAUUGACCUUUACCAUUUUCCUCUGAAGAAUAGCGACUGGUUGAAUCAAGAUUCUUCCUUUUCUGACGCAGAGGGAAGGUUGUUGUGUUGGAACAAUGGAGGGACCUAUGUGACGCUUCAACUGCGAGACAUGAAACACUGGGUGUAUUUGUGACCAGGUGGAAGCUGUAAUCGGUAAGCUACAGAUCCUAUCUUCUUUUCAAUAAUAUAUGGACCAUAGUAUUUGGCACACAAUUUUACAACUCUGCGCAUAUCAAUAGAAGAUUGUCGAUAGAGUUAUAGCUUUAGGUAAACUUGAUCCCUUACUGCUAGUACUCUGUCUGACCUUAGUCUAUCUGCGUAGAAUUUCACACGAGCUUGUCCUUGUGUCAAGUUUUCCUUCAGUGUCUGUAAUAUUUGCUGAUGUUGAGCCACGCACACUCCUGCUGGUGAUUGACCUGUGUUAGGCAAGGAUCCCAUAGGUAAUUGUGGUGGUGGUUAACCAUAUAGUUCCUAGAAAAGGGUGAUUUUCAGUGCACUAUGAUUAUUUAUGUUGUACCACCACUCCGCCAAAUGAAGCCACUUAGUGCAUAGCUUAGGAUUAUCAAACACCAUUGCACGUAGAUAAGUUUUCAUGUACUAUUUAGCCUUUCAGUAUGCCCAUCUGACUGCGAAUGAUAGGUUGUGCUCGUGUUCAGCUAAGUGCCCAUAGUCUUGAAAAGAUGCUGCUAGAAAUGGCUGGUAAAUAUAGAAUCCCUAUCAGACACUAUUAUUUUAGGUAGCCCAUGUAAUCUAUAAACCUCAUUGAGAAAUAGAUAUGUAACCUCAGAAGCUGAGAAUGGGUGUUUAAUGGCAAGAAAUGACCAUACUUGGGGAAUCUAUCAAUCACCACUAGCACUGCAUUUUCCCCCCAGAACUGGGUAGUCCAUAUACAAAAUCCAUGGAUAUAUCUUUCCAUGCCUGGUGUGGAAUUGGCAGUUGCUAGAGCAAGCCUGGUGAAUGAAUAUUUUCAGUUUUAACCCUUUGACAAACAUCACACUCCUCUACCCAUUUACACAAUUCUUUUUCAUAUUUGGCUAAUGAAACAGAAGUUCCAAUCUCUUAUAAGCUCCUUGAUGUCCUGAAUGCCCUCCAGUAGAAGAAUGAUUAUUAGUUUGUAGAAUCUUUUCCCUUAUAUCAGUACCCCUUCCCAUAUACAUUUUCUAUUUGUACCUUGUGACCCUUUGGUGUAAUGUGUAGUCCUCCCUACUGUUAGGAUUGAUGGUUAACUUUGUCAGUAGUUGAAAUGUUGUAGGAUCCCCUUCAUAACUAUCCACAGUGUCCUGCAACCAAGUGGCAUGUAGGCUGGAUAUAGCCAUUAGAGUAGAUUCAUGUUCUUGACUCCUUGAGAGACCAUCUGCCACUUUAUUUUCACUUCCCUUUUUGUAUUGAACCUCAUAGUCAAGGCCCAAGAGCUUGGUUAGCCCUUUUUGUUAUAAGGCUGUAGUUAUCUUCUGCUCUAAUAGGUAUUUCAAACUUUGGUGAUCAUUCUUAACAACAAAAUGUCAUCCUUGUAAGUAAUGUCUCCACCUAUCUACAGCUGAAAGUACUAUCAUAUGCUAUUUUUCAUAAGUUGACAAUCCUUUGUGUUUGAGUGCUAAUGCUUUGCUAAAAAAAGCUAUAGAUCUACCUCCUUGCAUUAGUACAACACCCAUUCCAGUAGCACAUGCAUCAGUUUCUGUCACAAAAGGCUUGGCGAAAUCAGCCAAACUAAGCACUAGUAUUGUUGCCAUAACUGUUAUAAAUUGUUGAAAGGUUGAUUCAGCUUCUUCAUUCCACUGAAAGGCAUUCUUCUUAAGCAAAUUAGUUAAUGGUCUUCUUAUAAUUCUGUAAGAUUUAAUAAAUCUCCUAUAGUAGCCAAUCAGCCCAAGGAAUCCCCUUAAGGCUUUCACAAAUUUAGGUAUAGGUCAAUUCACCAUUGCUUCAAUUUUAGCAGGGUUAGUAGAAACCCCUUCGCCUGAAAUAAUAUGCCCCAAGUAUUCCACUUUAUCCUGUCCAAAAGCCAUUUAGACAUCUUUGCAUAAAGUUGUUCCUUCAAUAGAAUCUCUAGUACUUUUCUGAGAUGUAGUACAUGAGCAUCCAUUGAAGAAAUGUAGACUAAUAUAUCAUCAAAAACACCAAUACAAACUUCCUCAAAAAGGGUUUAAGCACAUGAUUCAUAAGGCUUUGGAAAGUGGUUGGGGCAUUGGUCAAACUAAAGGGCAUGACCCUAAAUUCAUAGUGCCCUACAUGUGUUCUAAAGGCAGUAUUGUAAAUGUCCCCUUCCUUCAUUCUUAUUUGGUGAUAACCAUCCCUCAAGUCAAUUUUUGAAUAAAUGCAAGAAUCAUUAAGCUCAUCCAUAAGGUCAUCUACUAAGGGAAUUGGAAACUUAUCCUUAAUGGUCAUUUUGUUUAGUUCUCUAUAAUCAGUUCAAAAACUCCAACUUCCAUCUUUUUUCUUAACUAACAAUACAGGGGAAGAGAAUGGGGAGUGGUUGGGUUGUAUAAUUCCAUUACUAAGCAUUUCAUUAACUUGCUUUUCUAUAUCAUUCUUCUGAAAAUAAUUGUACUUUUAUGGUCUGAUACUUAUAGGUACUGCUUCAGGUUUGAGUGGAAUCUGAUGAUCAUGGGUCCUCCUUAGUGGCAGGCACUUUGGUUCAGCAAACACUCAUGGGAACUCAGCUAUAAUGUCCUGAAUCUUGUCAGGUAUGCUACUUGGUGCUUUUGUGGUCUAUACAUUAAUAGUAAAUAAAUGUUCCAAUAACACCUGUCCUUUCUUCGAUAAUUGCUUCACUCCAGUAGCAGUCAUACUCUACAGCUUGCCUUUCUCAAAGUAUCCCUUCAAUUCUGCCCUUUUCCCCUUCACACUAACCUGUAGUUUGUAUACAAUAAAAGUCAAACAGGAUGGUGUUGUGUUUUAUCAUCCAAUCCACCCCCAAGACUACGUCACAAGCCCCCAUAUCCAAAACUCUCAAUUUGUGCUCAAAUUCAUUGCCCUGAGUUUUCCACUUGAAUUGAGGAUGUGGUAACUCAUUAGAUACCCUCCAUUUUCCACAACUACCCUCAUUGGUACAGCUUCUUGGAUUGCACAUCCCAGUUGCUUCGCAGUGCUACUAGCUAUGAAGCUGUGAGUGCUACCACUGUCUGCUAGGAUUGAUAGUUAUAGAGGUAAUAGUCCCUGAUAAUGCAUUGAGACUAAUUGUCUCAUCUAUGAUAACUUCUGAAUUCUCAACAGGAACUAUCUCAUAUUCUAUCUUACCCUCUAUCUCUAAUUGCUCUUGUUCUAUUGUCCUUGAAAAUGUGUUGAGCUGUUUAUUAUUGCACACAUGUCCAGGAAAGUAUCUCUCUCCACGCUUAUAGCAUUCUCCCCUAGCUUUUCUUGUUUCAAAGAGUUUGUUCCCUGAGAUUGAAGGCUGUUAGUUACUCUCCUUUUGUACAUAGCUAGAAGGCUUGCUCAUUGUAGUGUUAACAUAAGUAUUUGGCUGUAGGUUCUGUCGUCCUCCAUAUCCCUUCUUCUUAUUCAUUGAUUCCAUUAAUUCUUCCUUGUGUCUAGCUUUUUCUACAACAUGACUUAAUGAAUAAGGAUCAAGUAUUUUAACAGUAUGUCUAAUCUCUUCUUUAAGCCUUUCUAUAAAAAAAACCCUAAAAAGAACUAUUCAAGUAUGGUUGGAUGUUUGAUUAACACCUAUGCCUUCAAAUCUUCAAACCUCUCUAAGUAUUCAUUGACUGAUCCAUUUCGCUCUACCGUUUUAAAUCUCUCCAGCAAAUUUAGAUUGCUAUUAUCUGCAUUAUUAAAUCUUUUAUUGAUUUCUUCCACAAAUUUACCCCAUCUAAUAGUACCCCUACUUAGUUGAUAAGAAAAGUACCAUGCUUCUGCUCUACCAUUCAAAUGCAAUGCGACAAUAUCAAGUUUAUGUUGUCGAUCCAUUAUAUGAUCGAAUUGAAAAUACCUUUCGCAUUUUUGCAGCCAAGCUUUUGGAUCUCCUUCUUCGAAGUAAGGGAAAUCAAUUUUGGAGUUUAAAUUGUUCGAGUAGGAUCACCCCACAGGAACCUCAUGAUUCUCCAUCAUCCUUCCUCGACUACCAUAGCCCUAUACUGUAUGAGCAACUGUUGGAGCACUACCCAAAAUACCAUCCUUGCUUGCGAAGAACUUGCCCAUUAGAAGAUCAAAUUUAUGAUUCAGUUCAUCCAUUUUAGAGUCAUCCGACUCCAGCUUUUUACUAGUUUCUGCCAUGUAAUUUUGUAAUUGAUUCUCCAGCUUCAUAACACUUUCUUCUGUAACUUUAGAUCUGGUUUCUGGUACUGUCAUGGUGCCAGGACUUGAUCUAAUACCAACUUGUAAUACACUAGAGAAUUUAUCUCAAGAAUUGAACGAAAUGAAGAAAUGAGAAUGAGGAACAAACUUUAUUGAUCACUGACAAAUGAAUUGAUUUUACAAUGAAUCUACCAAACUAAGUAGACUAUAUCCACCAUAGCUAAUUAACAGUACCUGGAAGAGGAGAGAAGAAGAAGAAAAGUUGGUUAGGAUUUAGAGAGAGAAAGUAGAGAGAAGAGAAAGCAAUUGAGAUAGUUAACAGAAUUAUACCGUGUAUGCUUGAG